CGUUCCCGGGCCUUGUACACACCGCCCGUCACACCAUGGGAGUUGGUUCUACCCGAAGACGGUUCGCUAACCGCAAGGAGGCAGCCGGCCACGGUAGGGUCGGCGACUGGGGUGAAGUCGUAACAAAGGUACC
RNAcentral lists this ribosomal RNA (133 nucleotides) under uncultured bacterium. Its description in RNAcentral is "partial 16S ribosomal RNA". It matches the Rfam family "Bacterial small subunit ribosomal RNA", at positions 1369 to 1500 of the family's 1533-position model. The record is from RNAcentral.